ACGGGAGGCAGCAGUGGGGAAUAUUGGACAAUGGGCGAAAGCCUGAUCCAGCGACGCCGCGUGAGUGAAGAAGUAUUUCGGUAUGUAAAGCUCUAUCAGCAGGGAAGAUAAUGACGGUACCUGACUAAGAAGCCCCGGCUAACUACGUGCCAGCAGCCGCGGUAAUACGUAGGGGGCAAGCGUUAUCCGGAUUUACUGGGUGUAAAGGGAGCGUAGACGGCAAGGCAAGUCUGAUGUGAAAACCCAAGGCUCAACCAUGGGACUGCACUGGAAACUGUCAGUCUUGAGUGUCGGAGAGGUAAGCGGAAUUCCUAGUGUAGCGGUGAAAUGCGUAGAUAUUAGGAGGAACACCAGUGGCGAAGGCGGCUUACUGGACGAUAACUGACGUUGAGGCUCGAAAGCGUGGGGAGCAAACAGGAUUAGAUACCCUGGUA
This 434-nucleotide ribosomal RNA is filed under the name uncultured bacterium. RNAcentral describes it as "partial 16S ribosomal RNA". It matches the Rfam family "Bacterial small subunit ribosomal RNA", at positions 341 to 792 of the family's 1533-position model. The record is from RNAcentral.